This 500-nucleotide ribosomal RNA is filed under the name uncultured bacterium. RNAcentral describes it as "partial 16S ribosomal RNA". It matches the Rfam family "Bacterial small subunit ribosomal RNA", at positions 30 to 523 of the family's 1533-position model. The record is from RNAcentral.
AUUGAACGCUGGCGGCAUGCCUUACACAUGCAAGUCGAACGGCAGCACGGGAGCAAUCCUGGUGGCGAGUGGCGAACGGGUGAGUAAUAUAUCGGAACGUGCCCAGUCGUAGGGGAUAACGCAGCGAAAGCUGUGCUAAUACCGCAUACGAUCUAUGGAUGAAAGCGGGGGAUCGCAAUACCUCGCGCGAUUGGAGCGGCCGAUAUCAGAUUAGCUAGUUGGUGAGGUAAAGGCUCACCAAGGCGACGAUCUGUAGCUGGUCUGAGAGGACGACCAGCCACACUGGAACUGAGGCACGGUCCAGACUCCUACGGGAGGCAGCAGUGGGGAAUUUUGGACAAUGGGCGAAAGCCUGAUCCAGCAAUGCCGCGUGCAGGAUGAAGGCCUUCGGGUUGUAAACUGCUUUUGUACGGAACGAAACGGUGAGCUCUAAUACAGUUUGCUAAUGACGGUACCGUAAGAAUAAGCACCGGCUAACUACGUGCCAGCCGCCGCCGUAA